RNAcentral lists this unclassified non-coding RNA (221 nucleotides) under Hevea brasiliensis (rubber tree). The record is from RNAcentral. Lineage: Eukaryota; Viridiplantae; Streptophyta; Magnoliopsida; Malpighiales; Euphorbiaceae.
AUCUAUAGCUAAGGCAAACUUUCUGCAGUUCAGCAAGAAACAAGAGGAUAGAAGUAGGUUUUAUAUUUGAGUACAAACAGUGGGGAAAUCAUUCCAAAACAGUUCAACACUGACAUUUCCAUAACAUAACAAUAAUUUUGGCAAUGAAAAACAUAAAUUCAAACUACAUCAGAUGACACAUUGGCCAACAAAAGCAUAACAUAUAGAUAGAAGAAAUAUGG